AGGGUUUGAUCAUGGCUCAGAUUGAACGCUGGCGGCAUGCCUAACACAUGCAAGUCGAACGGAAACGAUGCUAGCUUGCUAGCAGGCGUCGAGUGGCGGACGGGUGAGUAAUGUAUAGGGAUCUGCCUAGUAGUGGGGGACAACAUGUGGAAACGCAUGCUAAUACCGCAUACGCUCUACGGAGGAAAGUGGGGGACCUUUCGGGGCCUCAUGCUACUAGAUGAACCUAUAUUGGAUUAGCUUGUUGGUAAGGUAAUGGCUUACCAAGGCGACGAUCCAUAGCUGGUUUGAGAGAAUGAUCAGCCACACUGGGACUGAGACACGGCCCAGACUCCUACGGGAGGCAGCAGUGGGGAAUAUUGCACAAUGGACGAAAGUCUGAUGCAGCAAUGCCGCGUGUGUGAGGAAGGCCUUAGGGUUGUAAAGCACUUUCAGACGUGAGGAAAAGUAAUAAUUUAAUAAAUUAUUACCUUGACGUUAACGUCAGAAGAAGGACCGGCUAACUCCGUGCCAGCAGCCGCGGUAAUACGGAGGGUCCAAGCGUUAAUCGGAAUUACUGGGCGUAAAGCGCGCGUAGGCGGAUAUUUAAGUCAGAUGUGAAAUCCCUGGGCUCAACCUAGGAACUGCAUUUGAUACUGGAUAUCUAGAGUAUGGUAGAGGUGAGUGGAAUUUCAGGUGUAGCGGUGAAAUGCGUAGAGAUCUGAAGGAACAUCAGUGGCGAAGGCGACUCACUGGGCCAUUACUGACGCUGAGGUGCGAAAGCGUGGGUAGCAAACAGGAUUAGAUACCCUGGUAGUCCACGCCCUAAACGAUGUCAACUAGGUGUAUGGGAGUUUAACUCCUGUGUAUCGAAGCUAACGCGAUAAGUUGACCGCCUGGGGAGUACGGUCGCAAGACUAAAACUCAAAUGAAUUGACGGGGG
Molecule: ribosomal RNA, 922 nt
Filed under: uncultured Gammaproteobacteria bacterium
Lineage: Bacteria; Pseudomonadati; Pseudomonadota; Gammaproteobacteria
Description: bacterial SSU rRNA
Rfam family: Bacterial small subunit ribosomal RNA
Source: RNAcentral